GUAACGCUGGCGGCGUGUCUUAGCCAUGCAAGUCGAGCGGACUUAUGGGGUAACUUAUAAGUCAGCGGCGGACGGCGGAGUAACACGUAGCUAACCUACCCUCUGGACGGGGAUAACCUACCGAAAGGUGGGCUAAUACCCGAUGUAGUCAUCCUGUAUAGGGGUGAUGAAAGGUGGGCUUCUGUUACAAGCUCAUGCUGGAGGAGGGGGCUGCGGCCUAUCAGGUAGUUGGUAGGGUAAUAGCCUACCAAGCCGAUGACGGGUAGCCGGCCUGAGAGGGUGACCGGCCCGAGGGGCACUGAGAUACGGGUCCCACUCCUACGGGAGGCAGCAGCAGGGAAUCUUGGGCAAUGGGCGAAAGCCUGACCCAGCGACGCCGCGUGGAGGAAGAAGUCCUUCGGGGCGUAAACUCCUGGACUGGGGGACGAGUAAGGACGGUACCCCAGUAGAAAGGGACGGCUAACUACGUG
RNAcentral lists this ribosomal RNA (470 nucleotides) under uncultured bacterium. Its description in RNAcentral is "bacterial SSU rRNA". It matches the Rfam family "Bacterial small subunit ribosomal RNA", at positions 32 to 507 of the family's 1533-position model. The record is from RNAcentral.